Molecule: ribosomal RNA, 467 nt
Filed under: uncultured bacterium
Lineage: Bacteria
Description: partial 16S ribosomal RNA
Rfam family: Bacterial small subunit ribosomal RNA
Source: RNAcentral
AUGAACGCUGGCGGCGUGCUUAACACAUGCAAGUCGAACGGAAAGGCCCAAGCUUGCUUGGGUACUCGAGUGGCGAACGGGUGAGUAACACGUGGGUGAUCUGCCCUGCACUUCGGGAUAAGCCUGGGAAACUGGGUCUAAUACCGGAUAGGACGAUGGUUUGGAUGCCAUUGUGGAAAGUUUUUUCGGUGUGGGAUGAGCUCGCGGCCUAUCAGCUUGUUGGUGGGGUAAUGGCCUACCAAGGCGUCGACGGGUAGCCGGCCUGGGAGGGUGUACGGCCACAUUGGGACUGGGAUACGGACCAGGCUCCUACGGGGGGCGGCAGUGGGGAAUAUUGCACAAUGGGGGCAGGCCUGAUGCAGCGACGCCGCGUGGGGGAUGACGGCCUUCGGGUUGUAAACUCCUUUCGCUAGGGACGAAGCGUUUUUGUGACGGUACCUGGAGAAGAAGCACCGGCUAACUACGUG